GUUGUUGCAGCCCUCCCAAUGCCCGAGUGGGGCGGAGCAGCCCAGUUGGGGCCCGGAGCUGCUCUCUGGCUGUGGAGAGGUCCGAGAUGCGAAAGGCCGAGGCCCGGCCACGUCAGCACGACCACCCCGAGGGAGCUGCGAAAGGAGGCGGCGGGGAUCGCGCCGCCGGAGGGCCGGCUGCAGCCAUGGAAAUCCCCGCGGGGCAGAUACUGAAACCGUCCCUUUACACUGUCAAGGCAGUUUUCAUCUUGGACAACUUUGGACAGCGACUCUUGGCCAAGUAUUAUGAUGACACGUUUCCAUCCAUUAAAGAACAGAAGAGCUUUGAGAGAAAUGUCUUCAAUAAAACCUACAAGACUGACAGUGAGAUCGCUUUCUUAGAAGGUCUGACCAUUGUCUAUAAAAGCAGCAUUGAUCUAUUCUUUUACGUAGUGGGGAGUCCACAUGAAAAUGAGCUGAUGCUGACAUCAGUGCUCACCUGCCUUUUUGAAUCCCUCAGUCACAUGUUGCGAAAGAACGUGGAGAAACGAACCCUGGUGGAUAAUAUGGACGGGGCAUUUCUUGUAGUGGAUGAGAUUGUUGAUGGCGGUGUGAUUUUGGAAAUUGAUCCCCAGCAAGUGAUUCAGAAGUUAAAUUUCAGAAUGGUUCCAGAACCUGCAACUUACGGUUUUGUUCUCUUUGAUUACCUCACGGGUAAUUCAGAGCAGAGUGAAAUUAUUCCUGAGAGAUUCUACAAAUAAUGAAAGAUUCCCACAGGCAAGAAACAGGAGUGGAUGACGCCACAUUAUCAGAGCACAGCGUCACUCAGGUUCUUCAGUCUGCCAAAGAACAAAUUAAGUGGUCCUUAUUAAAAUAAAG
Molecule: RNA transcript, 858 nt
Organism: Pogona vitticeps (central bearded dragon)
Lineage: Eukaryota; Metazoa; Chordata; Lepidosauria; Squamata; Agamidae
Gene: COPZ2
Gene name: coat protein complex I subunit zeta 2
Source: RefSeq, a predicted model, not a curated record